UCCUCAAUAGCUCAGUUGGUAGAGCGCGCGGCUGUUAACCGCGUUGUCGUAGGUUCGAGUCCUACUUGGGGAGCCA
This 76-nucleotide transfer RNA is filed under the name Clostridiales bacterium. Its description in RNAcentral is "tRNA-Asn". It matches the Rfam family "tRNA". From Rfam's summary of the family: Transfer RNA (tRNA) molecules are approximately 80 nucleotides in length. Their secondary structure includes four short double-helical elements and three loops (D, anti-codon, and T loops). Lineage: Bacteria; Bacillati; Bacillota; Clostridia; Eubacteriales. The record is from RNAcentral.